CCUACGGGCGGCAGCAGUGAGGAAUAUUGGUCAAUGGCCGGAAGUCUGAACCAGCCAUGCCGCGUGCAGGUCAGUGCCCUAUUGGCUUUAAACUUCUUUUUUUCGGGAGCAAUAAUGGUCACGUGUGGCCAGACGAGAGUACCGUACGAAUAAGCAUCGGCUAACUCCGGGCCAGCAGCCGCGGUAAUACGGAGGGUGCAAGCGUUGUCCGGAAUCAUUGGGCGUAAAGAGUUCGUAGGUGGCAUAUUAAGUCUGAUGUUAAAUGCAGAAGCUCAACUUCUGUUCGGCACUGGAUACUGGUCAGCUUGAGUGCGGUAGCGGUAGAGGGAAUGCCUGGUGUAGCGGUGAAAUGCGUAGAUAUCAGGAGGAACAUCGGUUGCGUAAGCACUUUACUGGGCCGUAAUUGACACUGAGGAACGAAAGCCGGGGUAGCAAAUGGGAUUAGAUACCCUUGUAGUC
RNAcentral lists this ribosomal RNA (459 nucleotides) under uncultured bacterium. Its description in RNAcentral is "partial 16S ribosomal RNA". It matches the Rfam family "Bacterial small subunit ribosomal RNA", at positions 338 to 795 of the family's 1533-position model. The record is from RNAcentral.